RNAcentral lists this ribosomal RNA (253 nucleotides) under uncultured bacterium. RNAcentral describes it as "partial 16S ribosomal RNA". It matches the Rfam family "Bacterial small subunit ribosomal RNA", at positions 524 to 776 of the family's 1533-position model. The record is from RNAcentral.
UACGGGGGGGGCAAGCGUUGUUCGGAAUUACUGGGCGUAAAGGGCUCGUAGGCGGCCAACUAAGUCAGACGUGAAAUCCCCAGGCUCAACCUGGGAACUGCGUCUGAUACUGGAUGGCUUGAAUCCGGGAGAGGGAUGCAGAAUUCCAGGUGUAGCGGUGGAAUGCGCAGAUAUCAGGAAGAACACCAACGGCGAAGGCAGCUCGCUGGGACGGUACUGACGCUGAGACGCGAAAGCGUGGGGAGCGAACAGG